GGACAGGCUCUGUGCAUCACUCUGUCAACCGCAUCUCCCCAAGACCUGCAAUGAGAAGUGAUGGGGCCCAGCUGUUCACUAGAACCCAAGCCCCUCCUGCAGCCCCUUCCACCCUCCACUGCAGGCUGGGAAAACGGCUCCCCAGGCCGAAGCUUUGGUGCAGUGUAUUCUCCUAUAGCCUGUACCCAGGACACUGGAAUCAGCUGUACGGAUGUGUGUGUGUGAAGCUCGUGAGCAUUAGGCGUGGGGUCACCAGAAGAAAGGACCCUGAGCUAUGA
Molecule: long non-coding RNA, 278 nt
Filed under: Chinchilla lanigera (long-tailed chinchilla)
Lineage: Eukaryota; Metazoa; Chordata; Mammalia; Rodentia; Chinchillidae
Description: lncRNA (ENSCLAG00000022349.1)
Source: RNAcentral